This 309-nucleotide ribosomal RNA is filed under the name Aeromonas hydrophila. RNAcentral describes it as "bacterial SSU rRNA". It matches the Rfam family "Bacterial small subunit ribosomal RNA", at positions 1 to 304 of the family's 1533-position model. Lineage: Bacteria; Pseudomonadati; Pseudomonadota; Gammaproteobacteria; Aeromonadales; Aeromonadaceae. The record is from RNAcentral.
AAAUUGAAGAGUUUGAUCAUGGCUCAGAUUGAACGCUGGCGGCAGGCCUAACACAUGCAAGUCGAGCGGCAGCGGGAAAGUAGCUUGCUACUUUUGCCGGCGAGCGGCGGACGGGUGAGUAAUGCCUGGGGAUCUGCCCAGUCGAGGGGGAUAACUACUGGAAACGGUAGCUAAUACCGCAUACGCCCUACGGGGGAAAGCAGGGGACCUUCGGGCCUUGCGCGAUUGGAUGAACCCAGGUGGGAUUAGCUAGUUGGUGAGGUAAUGGCUCACCAAGGCGACGAUCCCUAGCUGGUCUGAGAGGAUGAU